RNAcentral lists this ribosomal RNA (484 nucleotides) under uncultured bacterium. Its description in RNAcentral is "bacterial SSU rRNA". It matches the Rfam family "Bacterial small subunit ribosomal RNA", at positions 29 to 524 of the family's 1533-position model. The record is from RNAcentral.
AACGAACGCUGGCGGCGCGUCUUAAACAUGCAAGUCGAACGAUCUGUAGCAAUACAGGGAGUGGCGGACGGGUGAGGAACACGUAGGAAUCUACCUCGAAGAGCGGGACAACUUUGGGAAACCGGGGCUAAUACCGCAUAGUACAGAGAUGUUAAAGGGCUAGCAAUAGUCGCUUCGAGAUGAGCCUGCGGUCUAUCAGCUUGUUGGUGAGGUAAUGGCUCACCAAGGCUACGACGGAUAGCCGGUCUGAGAGGAUGAUCGGCCACACUGGCACUGAGACACGGGCCAGACUCCUACGGGAGGCAGCAGUUAAGAAUCUUGCGCAAUGGGGGGCAACCCUGACGCAGCGACGCCGCGUGAAGGAUGAAGGCUUUCGGGUUGUAAACUUCGGUAGACUGGGAAGAAGAACUACGUUCGUUGAGGGCGUAGAGUGACGGUACCAGUCUGAAGCCCCGGCUAAUUACGUGCCAGCAGCCGCGGUAAU